Molecule: ribosomal RNA, 253 nt
Filed under: uncultured bacterium
Lineage: Bacteria
Description: partial 16S ribosomal RNA
Rfam family: Bacterial small subunit ribosomal RNA
Source: RNAcentral
UACGGGGGGGGCAAGCGUUGUCCGGAUUUACUGGGCGUAAAGAGCGCGCAGGCGGUCGGAUAAGUCGAAUGUGAAAGCCCCCGGCUUAACUGGGGAGGGUCAUUCGAUACUGUUCGACUGGAAGGCAGGAGAGGGAAGCGGAAUUCCCGGUGUAGUGGUGAAAUGCGUAGAUAUCGGGAGGAACACCCGUGGCGAAGGCGGCUCUCUGGGACGGUACUGACGCUGAGACGCGAAAGCGUGGGGAGCGAACAGG